AUUGAACGCUGGCGGCAGGCCUAACACAUGCAAGUCGAGCGGAUGAAGGGAGCUUGCUCCUGGAUUCAGCGGCGGACGGGUGAGUAAUGCCUAGGAAUCUGCCUGGUAGUGGGGGAUAACGUCCGGAAACGGGCGCUAAUACCGCAUACGUCCUGAGGGAGAAAGUGGGGGAUCUUCGGACCUCACGCUAUCAGAUGAGCCUAGGUCGGAUUAGCUAGUUGGUGGGGUAAAGGCCUACCAAGGCGACGAUCCGUAACUGGUCUGAGAGGGUGAUCAGUCACACUGGAACUGAGACACGGUCCAGACUCCUACGGGAGGCAGCAGUGGGGAAUAUUGGACAAUGGGCGAAAGCCUGAUCCAGCCAUGCCGCGUGUGUGAAGAAGGUCUUCGGAUUGUAAAGCACUUUAAGUUGGGAGGAAGGGCAGUAAGUUAAUACCUUGCUGUUUUGACGUUACUAACAGAAUAAGCACCGGCUAACUUCGUG
RNAcentral lists this ribosomal RNA (484 nucleotides) under uncultured bacterium. RNAcentral's name for it is "partial 16S ribosomal RNA". It matches the Rfam family "Bacterial small subunit ribosomal RNA", at positions 30 to 507 of the family's 1533-position model. The record is from RNAcentral.